UUGGACCUACGGGGCGCAGCAGUAGGGAAUCUUCCACAAUGGGGGAAACCCUGAACCAGCAACGCCGCGUGAGGGAAGACGGUUUUCGGAUUGUAAACCUCUGUCCUCUGUGAAGAUGAUGACGGUAGCAGAGGAGGAAGCUCCGGCUAACUACGUGCCAGCAGCCGCGGUAAUACGUAGGGAGCGAGCGUUGUCCGGAUUUACUGGGUGUAAAGGGUGCGUAGGCGGCUUGGCAAGUCAGUAGUGAAAUCCAUGGGCUUAACCCAUGAACUGCUAUUGAAACUGUCGAGCUUGAGUGAAGUAGG
RNAcentral lists this ribosomal RNA (305 nucleotides) under uncultured bacterium. RNAcentral describes it as "bacterial SSU rRNA". It matches the Rfam family "Bacterial small subunit ribosomal RNA", at positions 333 to 655 of the family's 1533-position model. The record is from RNAcentral.